CUCAAGGUCAAAAAUCACAAAAAUAGCACUUAAUAUUUUAUCAAAAGUCACAAACUUAGGGUUUAGAAUUAAAAGGUGGGGUUUAGGAUUUAGGGUUUAGGGUUUAGGGUUUAGAGUUUAGAUUUUAGGGUUUAGGGUUUAAAGUUUAGGAUUUAGAGUUUACGGUUUAGGGUUUAGAGUUGAGAAAUGAAGUUUUGGGGAUAAGAUUUCAAAUUUUGAAAAAUAAAAAAAUUAAAAUUUUCAAAGGAUAAACUUAGAAAGGUGCUAUUUUUGUGAUAUAAACUUAGAAAGAUGAUAUUUUGGAGAUUUGCCCAUACUUAAAUCAUUUUCUAUAUUUUCCCCAUAUGUUUGUUUUUCGCGCUUCGUGAUUUAAAAGUUCCGGUCACUUACCAACCAGUUUGAUCAUAAUGCAAUUA
RNAcentral lists this long non-coding RNA (416 nucleotides) under Brassica napus (rape). RNAcentral describes it as "long non-coding RNA (BNAP_LNC010139)". Lineage: Eukaryota; Viridiplantae; Streptophyta; Magnoliopsida; Brassicales; Brassicaceae. The record is from RNAcentral.